RNAcentral lists this ribosomal RNA (274 nucleotides) under uncultured bacterium. RNAcentral's name for it is "partial 16S ribosomal RNA". It matches the Rfam family "Bacterial small subunit ribosomal RNA", at positions 523 to 796 of the family's 1533-position model. The record is from RNAcentral.
AUACGGAGGAUCCAAGCGUUAUCCGGAUUUAUUGGGUUUAAAGGGUGCGCAGGCGGCCUUAUAAGUCAGUGGUGAAAUCUCCCGGCUCAACCGGGAAACUGCCAUUGAUACUGUAAGGCUAGAAUACAGACGAGGUAGGCGGAAUGUAGCAUGUAGCGGUGAAAUGCUUAGAUACGCUACAGAACACCGAUCGCGAAGGCAGCUUACCAGACUGUAAUUGACGCUAAGGCACGAAAGCGUGGGGAGCGAACAGGAUUAGAUACCCGGGUAGUCC